This is a long non-coding RNA of Catharus ustulatus (Swainson's thrush), 593 nucleotides long. RefSeq lists it as uncharacterized. NCBI's taxonomy places the organism in Eukaryota, Metazoa, Chordata, Aves, Passeriformes, Turdidae. The record is from RefSeq and is a predicted model, not a curated record. The transcript is spliced from 4 exons.
CUGUCUUCUGGGGCUGCUAUAUUGCACCUAAGUAAGUCUUAUGAGGUCUCUCAGGUCACCACCUGCUCUAUGUGGCAAAAGAUAACAAAAAUUUGGAAAUCAAGGUGGCAGCAGGAGGAGUUACAAAUGUCACGUAGCAAGGACACAGAUUUGGCUCCUGGCUGGGCUGGUAACCUGGAUUUGCAAUGUGAGACAGGCUGUCGAAGCCUGAAUGCCCUGGCCUUUCAGUCCUGUGCCAAAGCUCCAUCUGGGCUGUGCUUUCCAGUCAAACUCCUCCCAUCCCCUUGAUGGUGGAUGUUGACUCCAUAUGGGUCUUCCCUGCAUUUUUCUGCAGUUUCACAGAAGAUGAGUAGAGAUGGUAUCCAAGAAAUCAUUCACCCAUGGUGACAAUUUGCCAGAAGCUGAUAGCAACCUUCUGGAAAAUCUGGAAUUUUAUACAAGAAGGACUCCUUACUUGGAGACACACACUUACUUCACCCAAAAUAUCCUCUUUAUGUUUAAUGGGAGCUAAAGGUUAUUCUUGUAGCUCCCGUCUCUCUAUUUUUGCCACACACCUCCCCAGCUGGACUGGUUUUGGUGUUGCAGUGAGCUGG